CCUACGGGAGGCAGCAGUAGGGAAUUUUCCGCAAUGGGCGAAAGCCUGACGGAGCAAUACCGCGUGAGGGAUGACUGCCUGUGGGUUGUAAACCUCUUUUCUCAAGGAAGAAGUCCUGACGGUACUUGAGGAAUAAGCAUCGGCUAACUCUGUGCCAGCAGCCGCGGUAAUACAGAGGAUGCAAGCGUUAUCCGGAAUCACUGGGCAUAAAGCGUCUGUAGGUGGUUUGGUAAGUCUGCUGUUAAAGACUGGGGCUCAACCCCAGAAAAGCAGUGGAAACUGCCAAACUUGAGCGUGGUAGAGGUAGAGGGAAUUCCUAGUGUAGCGGUGAAAUGCGUAGAUAUUAGGAAGAACACCAAUGGCGAAAGCACUCUACUGGACCAUAACUGACACUGAGAGACGACAGCUAGGGGAGCAAAUGGGAUUAGAUACCCCAGUAGUCCUAGCCGUAAACGAUGGAUACUAGAUGUUGCACGUAUUAACCCGUGCAGUAUCGUAGCUAAGGCGUUAAGUAUCCCGCCUGGGAAGUACGCUCGCAAGAGUGAAACUCAAAGGAAUUGACGG
Molecule: ribosomal RNA, 564 nt
Filed under: uncultured bacterium
Lineage: Bacteria
Description: bacterial SSU rRNA
Rfam family: Bacterial small subunit ribosomal RNA
Source: RNAcentral